RNAcentral lists this ribosomal RNA (254 nucleotides) under uncultured bacterium. Its description in RNAcentral is "partial 16S ribosomal RNA". It matches the Rfam family "Bacterial small subunit ribosomal RNA", at positions 524 to 776 of the family's 1533-position model. The record is from RNAcentral.
UACGUAGGGGGCAAGCGUUGUCCGGAUUUAUUGGGCGUAAAAGGCUUGUAGGUGGCCACGCCAAGUCGGAUGUGAAAUCUCCCGGCUCAACUGGGAGGGGUCAUUCGAUACUGGCGGGCUCGAGGCCGGUAGGGGGAAGUGGAAUUCCCGGUGUAGUGGUGGAAUGCGUAGAUAUAUGGAGGAACACCAAUGGCGAAGGCAGCUUGCUGGACAGUAAUUGACGCUGAGAUGCGAAGGCGUGGGGAGCAAACAGG